This is a non-coding RNA of Drosophila virilis, 481 nucleotides long. The record is from RefSeq and is a predicted model, not a curated record. NCBI's taxonomy places the organism in Eukaryota, Metazoa, Arthropoda, Insecta, Diptera, Drosophilidae.
UUAACAUAGCAGUCACGCUGGCCAAACAACAGCCAGUUGGCACCCGUCCCGUUCUCUAGUUAGAGGCUGCAAAAACUAUCGAUAGGUAUUCACGCCGCGCGUUCGCAUUAAUAUUAUUGUAAAAUAAAUAAAUAAAGUGUAUUAACCAUGUGCAAAGUGUAAAUAAAUGUGUGCGUAAGACGCGUGUGCUAAAACCCAACACCGUUUUCGCGACAAGUUCUUAUCACCGCGGCGCAACGGCAACGGCUGCGGGUUCAAGUUCGUCGCUGUCUGCGACGACAACAACAGCAACAACAACAACAACAAUUGCAACAAUUACAACUACUACAACAACAAUAAGAAACGUGACUAAUGCACUGCUCGCGUAGCCUCUCAGCUGCUGCGGAUACAACAACAUUCUUCAGCGCCGCAGCAGCAGCGUCUGCGUCCACGUCGGCGUCGGCGUCCUCUGCCAGCACAACACCAACAAUGGCCACAACAA